RNAcentral lists this long non-coding RNA (360 nucleotides) under Phasianus colchicus (ring-necked pheasant). RNAcentral describes it as "lncRNA (ENSPCLG00000020447.1)". Lineage: Eukaryota; Metazoa; Chordata; Aves; Galliformes; Phasianidae. The record is from RNAcentral.
UGGCUUAGUGAGGCGUUAUCAUAACUGCAAAAUUUUUGUAUCUUAUUUUUAAUCUUUAGCUUCUAGAUUUUAAACUCGAUUUUUUUUUUUUUUUUUUUUUUUUCCAUGCCAGUAGCUUGAAAUAUAACUGUGACCUACUUGGAAAAAGCUUGGUCGGGAAAUCUUGUGCAGAUUUGCUGAUUGCAAAAUUCAUUUUGCCCAAGGGAGUCUUCCAGUGGAGCGCAGGCUAAAAGCAUUGAGGACGUAGCAAAGUAGAGGAAAGGCUAUUUAUACUAAGGAUAAGGAAGCUGAGUAAUUAAAAUGAUACACUGGAAGAGGAUUCCAACAGAAUUCAGCCUGAAAACCUUCAGCUGUUGUUCU